CUCCGGCCCCGGGUUUGACCCGAGAGAUCCUUUCCUUGGGGUAAAAAUACAGCAAUGAGAAGGUGCUGGGGUUCGGAGACCUGCCCGCGGUGCGCGGGGGCUGCGCGGGGACUGCGCGGGGGCUGCGCGGGGACUGCGCUCCGGCCGGCCCUGGCUCCCCUCCCUGCCAAAGCGCACGGCCCGCGCGAAUUUGUUGCAUUUCCUCGAUUGAUUGUUUAGUUAGAGAUUUUGCCAACUUCCUGAUGGUUCAUUUUGUGACUUUGAAAAAAAAAAAAAGCAAAAAAAAAAAAAAAAGCGCCGCAUUUCCUUUUUGACUUAAGAGGAGAGAGAGAAGCGGAGGCUGGGGGACUCAUCGAGCUCGACUGCAGAGCAGAACAGGAGACAGAAAGGAGGACAUGGGCAGGAGAGAGCAUGUAGUCCCCCCUCAGCCUCCGAAUGCAGACAAAGGAACUCCAAACUGUGACUGCAGUUGUGCCGUGGCCCAUUUUGGACUCCAGCUGACUUAGGACCAAGAUUGUGGUAUGUCAAUUUGAAGAAAAGCCAGAAUCUGAAACUGAAACGCCAGUGUUUUCUUCUUGCUAUAAUUGGAAUCUUUCAAGACAAGAUUCCAAUGUUUGAAGGUGCUCACUGCAAGGUUUUGAUCCUUUCCCAUCAAGUUUUCAGUGCUGAUGUAUAAAGCAUUAUACUUGAUGUUGGCUGCCCCCUUCUUCCAUUGAACUCAACAGUGAUUUUAUUCUUUGAUUUCAAGCAGAGCAGAAUCGGGCCAAUGCUAAACACUUUUGGCUGUCCAAAAGACACCGCGGUCCAGAUAACCUGCUCUGGAUCUGCAGGCUGUGCUUUGCAGGCAUUACUGGCUUUGCUUGAGUCAUCAGUAAAGUGCAGCCUUGACUGAAAACAAGAUUUUCUCUCUCGGUUGAACAAACUAGGAACGGUGACCUGAAACACUGCUGUUAUUUGGUGCUUCUUGGGAGCAACCCCGCUUGGGAAGGAAGUUGAAUGCAGUUAAUUUUUGUGAUGAUAAAAAAAAAAAUCUUUUAAUGAAGGGUCGGGUUUGGCCUACAACUCCUUUGCCUCAGGGACUGGGCGUGAAGUGAAGUAGCUCAUCAUCCAUGGGUUUGCCAUGCUAUCUGUAAGGGCGUGAGAAGAACUGUGUUUGUACAUCUGCCAAGCUGUUCCCUGCUGGUCUUUAAGAAACCAAAUUGUAAAAAGCUCUUUCCUGCAGAGUGUUGCAAGGACUGUCUUGAAUUUGGCUUCAGGAAAGGUUUAAUUCAUUUUUUUAUCUGGUUUACUUCACACUAUUUAAAAAAUUAUAUGCAUGUAUCGCAUGGGGCAGAGGACCUACAUCACCUACAGUGAUGGUGAUGGGAGUGGCAAUUACUAUGUGCUAAAGCAACAAGUCAGCAUUAUUUUAAAUCAAUUUUUUUUUUUUUUUGUCCAAUGCAACAUUAAUAUCUUCCGGACAAUGGAUUUUGGAAAAGUUGAAAUGUUUGCUUUACAAAACAGACAUAAAAUUUCUCCUUCAAGGUGCUAAAUUUGUGCUGAGCUGGUCCAAAACACGACUGCAUCUGGCUAUGUCUCGUGUCUGCUACUAAAAAAGCGUCCUAAAUUCCAGACAACCUCUGGGGCUUUGAAAUAAAACUCAUUAAUCCUG
Molecule: non-coding RNA, 1651 nt
Organism: Phalacrocorax carbo (great cormorant)
Lineage: Eukaryota; Metazoa; Chordata; Aves; Suliformes; Phalacrocoracidae
Source: RefSeq, a predicted model, not a curated record